UUGCACGCUGGCGGCAUGCCUUACACCUGCCAGUCGCACGGCAGCACGGGUGCUUGCACCUGGUGGCGAGUGGCGAACGGGUGAGUAAUACAUCGGAACAUGUCCUGUAGUGGGGGAUAGCCCGGCGAAAGCCGGAUUAAUACCGCAUACGAUCUACGGAUGAAAGCGGGGGACCUUCGGGCCUCGCGCUAUAGGGUUGGCCGAUGGCUGAUUAGCUAGUUGGUGGGGUAAAGGCCUACCAAGGCGACGAUCAGUAGCUGGUCUGAGAGGACGACCAGCCACACUGGGACUGAGACACGGCCCAGACUCCUACGGGAGGCAGCAGUGGGGAAUUUUGGACAAUGGGCGAAAGCCUGAUCCAGCAAUGCCGCGUGUGUGAAGAAGGCCUUCGGGUUGUAAAGCACUUUUGUCCGGAAAGAAAUCCUUGGCCCUAAUACGGUCGGGGGAUGACGGUACCGGAAGAAUAAGCACCGGCUAACUACGUG
Molecule: ribosomal RNA, 485 nt
Filed under: uncultured bacterium
Lineage: Bacteria
Description: partial 16S ribosomal RNA
Rfam family: Bacterial small subunit ribosomal RNA
Source: RNAcentral